Molecule: ribosomal RNA, 492 nt
Filed under: uncultured bacterium
Lineage: Bacteria
Description: partial 16S ribosomal RNA
Rfam family: Bacterial small subunit ribosomal RNA
Source: RNAcentral
AGUGAACGCUGGCGGUAGGCCUAACACAUGCAAGUCGAACGGCAGCACAGUAAGAGCUUGCUCUUACGGGUGGCGCGUGGCGGACGGGUGAGGAAUACAUCGGAAUCUACUUUUUCGUGGGGGAUAACGUAGGGAAACUUACGCUAAUACCGCAUACGACCUACGGGUGAAAGCAGGGGAUCUUCGGACCUUGCGCGAUUGAAUGAGCCGAUGUCGGAUUAGCUAGUUGGCGGGGUAAAGGCCCACCAAGGCGACGAUCCGUAGCUGGUCUGAGAGGAUGAUCGGCCACACUGGAACUGAGACACGGUCCAGACUCCUAGGGGAGGCAGCAGUGGGGAAUAUUGGACAAUAGGCGCAAGCCUGAUCCAGCCAUACCGCGUGGGUGAAGAAGGCCUUCGGGUUGUAAAGCCCUUUUGUUGGGAAAGAAAAGCAGCAGGUUAAUACCCCGCUGUUCUGACGGUACCCAAAGAAUAAGCACCGGCUAACUUCGUG